Molecule: ribosomal RNA, 349 nt
Filed under: Boophis elenae
Lineage: Eukaryota; Metazoa; Chordata; Amphibia; Anura; Mantellidae
Description: partial 16S ribosomal RNA
Rfam family: Bacterial large subunit ribosomal RNA
Source: RNAcentral
ACGAGAAGACCCCAUGGAGCUUUAAACCCAACAGCACCCGUUUAUUUUCAUCCUCACAUAAGUUAGGUUAUGCCUGUUUGGUUUUAGGUUGGGGUGACCACGGAGUAUAAAACAACCUCCAUGAAAAAAGGACCAAAAAUCCUUAUUAGAGAAAGACAUUUCUAAAAUUAAUAAAUUAAUUUUUAAUGAUCCGAUAUUCGAUCAACGAACCAAGUUACCCUGGGGAUAACAGCGCAAUCCACUUCAAGAGCUCCUAUCGACAAGUGGGUUUACGACCUCGAUGUUGGAUCAGGGUAUCCUAGUGGUGCAGCAGCUACUAACGGUUCGUUUGUUCAACGAUUAAAACCCU